This 253-nucleotide ribosomal RNA is filed under the name uncultured bacterium. Its description in RNAcentral is "partial 16S ribosomal RNA". It matches the Rfam family "Bacterial small subunit ribosomal RNA", at positions 524 to 776 of the family's 1533-position model. The record is from RNAcentral.
UACGUAGGGUCCGAGCGUUGUCCGGAAUUAUUGGGCGUAAAGGGCUCGUAGGCGGUUCGUCACGUCGGGAGUGAAAACUCGGAGCUUAACUCCGAGCCUGCUUCCGAUACGGGCAGACUAGAGGUAGGUAGGGGAGAGCGGAACUCUUGGUGUAGCGGUGGAAUGCGCAGAUAUCAGGAAGAACACCGGUGGCGAAGGCGGCUCUCUGGGCCUUACUUGACGCUGAGGAGCGAAAGCGUGGGUAGCGAACAGG